UGGGGAAUCUUCCGCAAUGGACGAAAGUCUGACGGAGCAACGCCGCGUGAGUGAAGAAGGUUUUCGGAUCGUAAAACUCUGUUGUCAGGGACGAAUGUUUAGACUGUAAAUAAUGGUAUAAAAUGACGGUACCUGACAAGAAAGCCACGGCUAACUACGUGCCAGCAGCCGCGGUAAUACGUAGGUGGCAAGCGUUGUCCGGAAUUACUGGGCGUAAAGGGAGUGUAGGCGGUUUGAUAAGAUAGGGGUGAAAUCCCAGAGCUCAACUCUGGAAUUGCCUUUAUAACUAUCAGGCUUGAAUUAUAGAGAGGAUAGUGGAAUACCCAGUGUAGAGGUGAAAUUCGUAGAUAUUGGGUAGAACACCAGUGGCGAGGGCGACUAUCUGGCUAUAUAUUGACGCUGAGGCUCGAAAGCAUGGGGAGCAAACA
RNAcentral lists this ribosomal RNA (428 nucleotides) under uncultured bacterium. Its description in RNAcentral is "bacterial SSU rRNA". It matches the Rfam family "Bacterial small subunit ribosomal RNA", at positions 355 to 774 of the family's 1533-position model. The record is from RNAcentral.